This 63-nucleotide transfer RNA is filed under the name Turnera orientalis. RNAcentral's name for it is "partial tRNA-Leu". RNAcentral also lists the same sequence under 1 other name. The record is from RNAcentral. Lineage: Eukaryota; Viridiplantae; Streptophyta; Magnoliopsida; Malpighiales; Passifloraceae.
GGGGAUAUGGCGAAAUUGGUAGACGCUACGGACUUAAAAUCCGUCGAUUUUAGAAAUCGUGAG